Molecule: ribosomal RNA, 267 nt
Filed under: uncultured bacterium
Lineage: Bacteria
Description: partial 16S ribosomal RNA
Rfam family: Bacterial small subunit ribosomal RNA
Source: RNAcentral
AACGAACGCUGGCGGCAUGCCUAACACAUGCAAGUCGAACGCUCCGCAAGGGGAGUGGCGAACGGGUGAGUAACGCGUGGGAACCUGCCCAGUAGUUGGGGAUAACCGCGGGAAACUGCGGCUAAUACCGAAUACGCCCUAAGGGGAAAGGAUUUAUCGCUAUUGGAGGGGCCCGCGUCGGAUUAGCUGGUUGGUGAGGUAACGGCUCACCAAGGCGACGAUCCGUAGCUGGUCUGAGAGGAUGAUCAGCCACACUGGGACUUAGAC